GGAAUAGACUAAGAACCAAGGAAGGGGAUCUACACCAGAAAAGGAGCGGACUCGAACCGCUGACAUGCAUCCGCCACAGGGUAAACCACCGCCUCUCAGGCCCCCGAGCUAACUCCAAAAACCCGUCCUCAAUUCGGAUUGCGGGCUGCAACUCGCCUGCAUGAAGCCGGAAUCGCUAGUAAUCGCCGGUUAGCCAUCCGGCGGUGAAUUUGUUCCCGGGCCUUGUACA
RNAcentral lists this non-coding RNA (229 nucleotides) under Jatropha curcas. RNAcentral describes it as "Bacterial small subunit ribosomal RNA". It matches the Rfam family "Bacterial small subunit ribosomal RNA", at positions 1213 to 1387 of the family's 1533-position model. Lineage: Eukaryota; Viridiplantae; Streptophyta; Magnoliopsida; Malpighiales; Euphorbiaceae. The record is from Rfam by way of RNAcentral.